GCAUAUCAAUAAGCGGAGGGAAAGAAACCAACCGGGAUUGCCUCAGUAACGGCGAGUGAAGCGGCAAGAGCUCAAAUUUGAAAGCUGGCUCCUUCGGGGUCCGCAUUGUAAUUUGCAGAGGAUGCUUCGGGUGCGGCCCCUGUCUAAGUGCCCUGGAACGGGCCGUCAGAGAGGGUGAGAAUCCCGUCUGGGAUGGGGUGUCCGCGCCCGUGUGAAGCUCCUUCGACGAGUCGAGUUGUUUGGGAAUGCAGCUCUAAAUGGGUGGUAAAUUUCAUCUAAAGCUAAAUACUGGCCGGAGACCGAUAGCGCACAAGUAGAGUGAUCGAAAGAUGAAAAGCACUUUGAAAAGAGAGUUAAAAAGCACGUGAAAUUGUUGAAAGGGAAGCGCUUGCGACCAGACUCGCCUCCAGGGUUCAGCCGGCAUUCGUGCCGGUGUACUUCCCUGGGGGCGGGCCAGCGUCGGUUUGGGCGGCCGGUCAAAGGCUCCCGGAAUGUAGUGCCCUCCGGGGCACCUUAUAGCCGGGAGUGCAAUGCGGCCAGCCUGGACCGAGGAACGCGCUUCGGCACGGACGCUGGCAUAAUGGUCGUAAACGACCCGUCUUGAAACACGGACCAAGGAGUCUAACAUCUACGCGAGUGUUCGGGUGUCAAACCCGUACGCGCAGUGAAAGCGAACGGAGGUGGGAGCCCCCUCGUGGGGCGCACCAUCGACCGAUCCUGAUGUCUUCGGAUGGAUUUGAGUAAGAGCGUAAAUGUGGGGACCCGAAAGAUGGUGAACUAUGCCUGAAUAGGGCGAAGCCAGAGGAAACUCUGGUGGAGGCUCGCAGCGGUUCUGACGUGCAAAUCGAUCGUCAAAUUUGGGUAUAGGGGCGAAAGACUAAUCGAACCAUCUAGUAGCUGGUUCCUGCGA
RNAcentral lists this ribosomal RNA (910 nucleotides) under Aspergillus subolivaceus. RNAcentral's name for it is "LSU rRNA". It matches the Rfam family "Eukaryotic large subunit ribosomal RNA", at positions 38 to 963 of the family's 3401-position model. The record is from RNAcentral. Lineage: Eukaryota; Fungi; Ascomycota; Eurotiomycetes; Eurotiales; Aspergillaceae.